AAGGGCACCACAAGAACGCGUGGAGCAUGUGGCUUAAUUUGACUCAACGCGGGAAAUCUUACCGGGUCCGGACACACUGAGGAUUGACAGAUAUAUUAUUAUAUGUAUUUUAAAUACAUAUAUUAGAAAGAUGCUAGUUCUUUCAUGACUAUGUGAUAGGUGGUGCAUGGCCGUUCUUAGUUCGUGGAGUGAUCUGUCUGCUUAAUUGCGUUUCACUAAAGGCCUUAUUAUAUACAGUGUGUUGACACUUUGCAUUGACCCCUGCUCAUUGAGUGGUUGCGUGUCUUUGUUAUACUGUCUCAUACUAAUUUAGGCCUUGAAAGCAACGAACGUGACCGCAACCUCUUGUUGCCUUAUUACCAUAUAUAAUAAUUGUGUCUCUGUACACAUUUAUUGUAAUAAAGGCUAUUUUAUUAAUUAAACUAGAGGGACCGCUGUGAUCUUUUUUAAACCAGAGGAAGGUUGCGGCAAUAACAGGUCUGUGAUGCCCUUAGAUGUUCCGGGCUGCACACGUGCUACAAUGAUUAUUGCAGUGAGCAUCUCAUUUAUAACAGCUGUCUUGUGCGUGUAUUAAUUAUUUUUAUAAUAAUUAAAUUACAUUGUACACAGCUAAGCCUACUUCGAGAGGUCAGUAGGUAACCAAUUAGAAGUAAUGAUUUCUAAUUUAUUAUGCACAACAAUAUGUGGCAUUUAUAUCCGGGUUGUAGCUUUGCCUAUAACUUUUGUGUGUAUAAAUGUAUUUUAUAUCCACAUGUGCAAUUAUUAAUACAAGGUGGGGACAGACUAUUGUUAAUUGUUAGUCUCGGUCUUAACUAGGAAUGCCUUGUACGGGUUGGUUCAACAAACCACCCGGAAUACGUCCCUGCCCUUUGUACACACCGCCCGUCGCUCUUACCGAUGAACUUCUCUGUGAGUCUAAUGGACUAAUUAUAUUAUUAACGUUUUAUAAUGGAAAAUUAUACGAACAGGGUGGUUUAAAGGAAAGAGAAGUCGAACAAGGC
RNAcentral lists this ribosomal RNA (1001 nucleotides) under Trochamminidae sp. 9634. RNAcentral's name for it is "SSU rRNA". It matches the Rfam family "Eukaryotic small subunit ribosomal RNA", at positions 1160 to 1800 of the family's 1831-position model. The record is from RNAcentral. Lineage: Eukaryota; Foraminifera; Textulariida; Trochamminidae.